ACUAUGGGGGCAGGGUAGCUCACCCCUGCGCAGAGAGCACGACCCAGCCUGCCUGGGGAGGCCACACGCAGCCUCCUCCUCAGCCAUCAGCCCCUGACCUUGGAUUGCGUAUCACUGUGGUAAUAACUCCCGCUGGCUGGGGGAGGUGCCAAGCCUGCCAGUCUCUUUGUCUGGCAUGUCUGAGGGUAGGACCCUGCCCUGCGGAGCUACCCGUGGAAGCUCCUGGAAAUUUCCAGAGCCUACUGGAAAUGCCCCCUUCAGCCAGAUCCCACCUCAGGGCCUCAGUGAGCCACAUGUGUGAGCACAGUUGCUCUCACAUCUAGACCAUGGAUGGAGGCCUUUCCAGGAGCUGCCUGUUCCCUGUCUCUCUCUGCACAUGCUCACACUUACUCGGCAUAGCCAGGAGAUGGGCCUCCCGGGUACGUCUAGAGGUCAAAUCCACAGUAACAAAACAGACAGACCCCAGGCCCACCCCUGGUGGACCGACCCCAGGCUGAGCGACAGCACGGUCGGGGCUGCUCCCGGGCAGAGGUGGCCCGGGUGUGGAGGACGCUGGAAGAGAGAAGCCUGGGUGUGAAGGUCCACACCACUGACAAGGACACCAAGACUCCACUUAACAAGUGGCCACCCUGGCCCUGAGAACCUCAGUCACAGGACCUGGUCUCACGGAGCUCAGCUGGCUAUCAGACCACCACCAACUCUGGGCGGCGGGGCGACCCUCACUCUUCAUUAGCACCGGGGAGGGGACCCAUGUCAGCCAAGGUGUGGCAGCGGAGGGCGCUAGACCUUCACGAGCCGCACUCAGCCACCCUUGCAGCCCUUUGGGCUGGAUUUGCCUGCCCCUCCAUGAAGCUACUCUCCCUCUGGCUGGCCCUGAAGAGCCCUGUGCCUGUGGGGAGGACAGUCCCUGGACACUCUGUUCCUGUGGUUCAUCCUCAGCUCCUGUGUCAACUCCCCGGACAGGUCUGGUCAGCCCACCGUCCCUGCUCCCUGACAUGCUCCUGGCCUCUCCCAGAGCCGUCUGUCUGAUCCAUCCGUGUAGAUGGGCUCUGAGCCUGUAAGUGACAGGCAGAGAGGCUGUCCUUGAAGAAUCGGCCCAGUGUGGGCAGUGAGCUCUUCAUCC
This 1123-nucleotide long non-coding RNA is filed under the name Fukomys damarensis (Damara mole-rat). RNAcentral's name for it is "lncRNA (ENSFDAG00000030460.1)". Lineage: Eukaryota; Metazoa; Chordata; Mammalia; Rodentia; Bathyergidae. The record is from RNAcentral.